RNAcentral lists this long non-coding RNA (1067 nucleotides) under Anser cygnoides (Swan goose). RNAcentral describes it as "lncRNA (ENSACDG00005014427.1)". Lineage: Eukaryota; Metazoa; Chordata; Aves; Anseriformes; Anatidae. The record is from RNAcentral.
AUGUUUUUUCAGCAUACAUGCAGAAUGUUGAUGUUUAUUUCAUAUUGUGUGUGCUCAGCAAGACUGGCAGCUGGUUAUUCACUUACUCAAACACUCACAGGUGUACUGAGACCAGCGCAACCUACACAUGACCCACUUCUGUGCUGCAUCGUUCUUCACUCUGCAAGGACGCCCAAAGACUGCUUUUGACAGAGGUACCUCCCCUCAUACAUACAGAUGGGAAAAAUAUCUGUGCCUGUAUUAGAUAUUUUUCAGAGAAUUGAAUUUCAGUUGUUAUUGACUAGACUGGGUCUAUGCUAUGGUUUUCAGGUUGUGGGCAAAAUAUUAUUUAAUGAUAUCCGUCCUCUAUCCCCGUUGUUAUAAAGAUGUUUUAAGUUCGGAUAAAAUCAGUCAUGGUUUGUUCUCUCUUUGAAAUUAAGACUGCAUCCGAAACUCAGCACUCUAGAUAGUUUGUGGAUUUUCUUCACUCCCUCACCCCCACCCCUUGCCUUUUUUUUUUUUUAAUAAGCCAUAUUUGAGAAAUUUAAAUUUAGCACCAUGUACAAAAAUGUCUUUAAUUUUCUGUUUUUAUAAGGAAAGUGGAGUAUUUAGUUUUGUGUCUGAAAGUGUUUCAGUUACUAAAUGAAUGAAAGCUUCAAAGUUGCCUCAAUCUAUCAACAGGGAAAAUAGUAGUUUUGCUUCUCUACAAGCUAGGUGUUGAAACCAUCUCCAGAUUCAUUAAAGCAUACUGUGGAAAUAAUUUUCUAGUGGGAGACAUAAUGAAUGUGCAAGGCAUUUUUACAACAUACAGGAGGCUAUAAAUUUUUAGAGAGCUUUUUAUUAUUAUUUCUGUGCUCUAAGUCAUAUUUUGCUAUAUGUCAUAAAGGUUUGAAAACUUAGAAUGCUUUGUAAUUACUCAGAGAAAAAUAACUCAUUACAUCUUAAAUUCAGAUAACAAAAGAAAUGCAUUGUUUGUGUAGGUUGUUUACUAGUUCUGCUUAUUCCAAUGGGCCUAGGCCAAGGGCAAACUGUUAUAAAACUGUAGCUGUGUAAAACAUCCUUUGCUGUUUGAGUGCACACAAACAAUA